GAGGGGUAACGGGGAGCUUGCUCCGCCGACGACCGGCGCACGGGUGCGCACCGCGUAUGGAACCUACCUUGUACAGGGGAAUAGCCCAGGGAAACUUGGAUUAAUGCCCCGUAGUACUAUUAUUCGGCAUCGUUUAAUAGUUAAAGCUUUCGGGCGGUACAAGAUGGCCAUGCGUCCCAUUAGCUGGUUGGUAAGGUAACGGCUUACCAAGGCUACGAUGGGUAGGGGCCCUGAGAGGGGGAUCCCCCACACUGGUACUGAGACACGGACCAGACUCCUACGGGAGGCAGCAGUGAGGAAUAUUGGACAAUGGAGGAGACUCUGAUCCAGCCAUGCCGCGUGCAGGAAGAAUGCCCUAUGGGUAGUAAACUGCUUUUAUACGGGAAGAAAAAGAGCUACGUGUAGCUUACUGACGGUACCGUAAGAAUAAGGACCGGCUAACUCCGUGCCAGCAGCCGCGGUAAUACGGAGGGUCCGAGCGUUAUCCGGAAUUAUUGGGUUUAAAGGGUCCGUAGGCGGGCCGAUAAGUCAGGGGUGAAAGUUUGCAGCUCAACUGUAAAAUUGCCUUUGAUACUGUUGGUCUUGAGUUAUAGUGAAGUUGCCGGAAUAUGUAGUGUAGCGGUGAAAUGCAUAGAUAUUACAUAGAACACCGAUUGCGAAGGCAGGUGACUAACUAUAUACUGACGCUGAUGGACGAAAGCGUGGGGAGCGAACAGGAUU
RNAcentral lists this ribosomal RNA (720 nucleotides) under Bacteroidetes bacterium GM36. RNAcentral describes it as "bacterial SSU rRNA". It matches the Rfam family "Bacterial small subunit ribosomal RNA", at positions 64 to 779 of the family's 1533-position model. The record is from RNAcentral. Lineage: Bacteria; Pseudomonadati; Bacteroidota.